GGUACCGUAAGAAUAAGCACCGGCUAACUACGUGCCAAGCAGCCGCGGUAAUACGUACGGGUGCAAGCGUUAAUCGGAAUUACUGGGCGUAAAGCGUGCGACAGGCGGUUUAUGUAAGACAGUUGUGAAAUCCCCCGGGCUCAACCUGGGAACUGGCAUCUGUGACUGCAUAGCUAGAGUACGGUAGAGGGGAUGGAAGUUCCGCGUGUAGCAGUGAAAUGCGUAGAUAUGCGGAGGAACACCGAUGGCGAAGGCAAUCCCCCUGGACCUGUACUGACGCUCAUGCACGAAAGCGUGGGGAGCAAACAGGAUUAGAUACCCCUGGUAG
This 328-nucleotide ribosomal RNA is filed under the name uncultured bacterium. RNAcentral describes it as "bacterial SSU rRNA". It matches the Rfam family "Bacterial small subunit ribosomal RNA", at positions 474 to 793 of the family's 1533-position model. The record is from RNAcentral.